RNAcentral lists this long non-coding RNA (3318 nucleotides) under Olea europaea (common olive). Its description in RNAcentral is "long non-coding RNA (OEUR_LNC005343)". Lineage: Eukaryota; Viridiplantae; Streptophyta; Magnoliopsida; Lamiales; Oleaceae. The record is from RNAcentral.
GAUGUGCGAGCAUCAAUUUUUACACUUCACAACCUAUCUAGAGGAUUCUGCAAGCGUGCGAGCUAGGCUGUAACAUUUGAGCAAUAUCCUUCUUUAGGUAAUCGUGUUGUGCGUACCUUCAAAUCUAUGUACCUAGCAUAAUUGAAAAUGAAAACAUUAAGAACUAGAUAACAUAAUUCUUCUUCACAAAUCUUUUGUAUGACUCAGCUCUAUACUGUUUAAUUAUCACCACAAAAAACAAAAGCAAAGAAAUUCACAAGCAAUUAAUUUUAUAUCAUUCAAGUAUUUCCAUACCACAUAUAUUGCUUUCUAUAUUAGAAUUUAUUGAAUGAGAAACAAUGUAUUAAACUCCAUGAAGGAGAAGAUGAAUUACACUCCAUGAAAGGAGGAAAUGAACAGCUCCAUAAAAGGAGGAAGACACUCCAUAAUAGGAGGAAAUGAAAUCUCCAUGGAAGGAGGGAUUGGAGGACAAUCCAAUAGACUAAAAAUUCAUCCACGGUGCUGUAUUUAUAGAGCAAAAUGGCUAAAGUAAUUAACUAACUAAUUAGCUAAUUAACAAACUAAUCAAUAACUAACUAACAACUAAGACAGCUGGACACAACCGUUUUGGAAUCUGAUAUGUUGAGAUGGAAGUCUCUAGAAUCUGGUGCACACAUGAUGCUGGAAUCUGCUGAUGUUUGGUGCAUGUGUAUUCCAACAUUCUAUUCUUUAUCUAUGUCGUUUGAUUUUUGAUAAUUUUAAAGCAACGUUUAAAAUUCUCCAAAAGGGAUUUCUAUUAUGUUUCACAACCUUAUGUUGACCAUAUUAUCUUUGUAGUAUACGCCGUAAAAAAGAGUUGAAGUGAAUUUUUUCCUGUUGAGAUGAGCCAAUUAGUGGUAGAUUUAUAUGUGUUGUUGUGUAUGUAUUUUCGCAGUUUGUAUAAUAUAUCUGCAAGAACGUAGGAUUUGACUUUUGAAAAUAGCUCUGAUUCACCAUGUCUCAGAAACUGGUUUGACAUAUCCAGCAAGCAAGAAGUGAUACAAAAGUUGAGACAACAAUUAAAGAGAAAAGAUUACAUGAUGCUAGAAAUACAAGAUCAGAUUGCAAAACUUUGAGACUCUUUGUGAAGUGCAUUUGUAUUCUUUCCAUCUACAAUAGCUGCUCGAUUCUACAAACAGGGAUCUGUUUGAUUCCAAAGGAAAAUAUAGAGAUUAAGAAAGGCAAUUGCAGAUAAUUAUGGGGGACAUAUGGUUUUUAGUGACAAUUCCCUUGCUGUUCAUCUAGCAGAAGGAAGGAAUGGCCACACAAAUGGAUAUUCCGAGAUUGAAAGCAAUCUUGAUUCUUAAGAAAAAGGGAGAGGAGAUUGGGAUAUAACAUUGAAACAUUAAGAAGGGAAGUCAGGGGGUGAAAAGAAGUAAUAAUCCAAAAUCUCAAAACUUUUGGGCUGUCGUAUCUUAUCUAAACUCAAAAUAUUAGAAAUUUCAAACAUAUGUUUUUUUACGUGUGAUAAGGAUUAAGAAUAAAAGUAGAUGUCAUGGUAUCUUGUUAAUAUAUAACUGAGAAAACAUUUUGAAAAAAAAAUAAAAUAAAAGAUAAUUAUUUUUAGAAGUGAAAAGUUAUAUCGUUGAAUUAAUUUUCAUGUUAUUAUAUUUAUUCAAGACAUCUUUCGGUAAGCUUCCAAGAUUGAGCUUCUUGUUCAUCUUGUGGAAUUAAUUGAUGAUUGUAGGUGUUUAGUCAAGAAAGCUUGUUUGGUUUUACCGUUCUUGAUUAAUCUUUAGGUUCGAUUGAUUUUCUUGAUUUUGGUUUUUUUUUUCAUUAGUAAGCAAAAAGAAAAAAAAAACAUUUUUGCUGUUCUGAUUAUAUGUCAUAAUUUAUUGUAUCUAUUUAAUGAGUUAAACCAUGUGGUAUUGCCUAAUUGUUUCUAUGCACAACUAAAAAACAAUGUAAUUUCGUUCUUCACAUGUCCUAUUACUAAAUAGUAUUUGAUCUUUUUCACUUAGCUUGCACUUUAGCAACAUGAGUUUUUGUUGACUUCCUUGAAGUGAGAUGUGUUUGAUGUUACAGGUGCCUUCCAGAAUUUCAGGGACUACAUCAAAUUUUGUGAUUAAUAAACCCGAGAUUUAAUUUAAACAACCCAAUUUCCUGCAAUUUAUGAAGGAAGCUAAGGAUAUGGAUCUGGAUUUAUGGUAUUUUGUUGAACAAAAGAACAUUUAAUAACCAAUAUCGAUUCUCCAGUAUUUUAUAUUCCAUUUCUGACUUUUAGCAUGCGAACUUUUAUAGCUCUUGUAAGAGGUUUAGUACUUAGCACAAUAUUCAUAUUUUGUAAUUGCAAUUUAGCUAAGACAUCUUGCAGUUGUAGCAUGGCAGGUAUUAAUCAGGGUUGAAAUUAUAAAAGAAAAUGGAAAUAAUAUAAUCAAUCUCUGUCUUCAAUAAACAUUACACGCAUACCAACGAACAAGCUGGAGGAAAACAAAAAAGUGGAGAAGAGGAACUACAACAUUAGAUUUCAGGAAUACGGAUUAUGAGUGCCCUAUUUGAGUCCCAUUUUUUCAAGAAUUCAUUUUUUCAAAUCUCACUUUCAACUAUACAUUCUCUCAUAAAAUAAAAUACGUAUUUUAAACAUUUUUCUUGAUUUUUAACCACACAUUCUCCAAAAAAUCACUAUUCUAUAAUCCAUUUUACCCAAGAAUGGGGAUCAAACAGGGACUAGAUUUCCAUUACAAAGUAAACUUUACCUUUCUCUUCACUAUUUUGUCUUGGUCAGUGGUGGAUCUAGGAGUUGGAGCCAACUAGGGCAGUUGGUAACCGUCGACUGAUGCAUUAACAAGAUCGUUUAUUAAUAUUUUAUUAAAUAAUAUUAAAAAAAUUUAAUUAAUAUAUAAAUGCAGUAAAACGUAAAUCACAUAUUAACAAUCAUCAAGUUUCCAUUUCCAAAUUUCACAAAUACUAGUAGAUUCCAUAAGUCCACAAACACUAAUAGUUUUUAUUUCCAAAAUCCCUAAUUUUCACAAAAUCCUCAAUUUUCACGAAUUUCAUAGUCCACAUAUAUGAUAUCGCAUAUCCUCAAACUCAUGAAGCCUCCAAUUUUCGUAAAUAAUAUUAGAGGUUCGUGACUCAUGAAGUCACAAACUAACAGUAAAUAUUCAUAAAACAUAAAUUCAUAAAUCAUAACUGAUUAUUUUAACUGAUAGCUCAUAAUUUGAUAAAUAAUAAAUCAAAAAACGAACAGAAACCAAAAAAAAAGAAAAAAAGGAGAAAUGAAGAGAGGCAGGAGACUCACCACUCAUGUCCCGCCAUCACGAGUGGAAUUAGUUACCAGUGAUACAGUGGUGGUGUAGU